Molecule: small nucleolar RNA, 177 nt
Organism: Vicugna pacos (alpaca)
Lineage: Eukaryota; Metazoa; Chordata; Mammalia; Artiodactyla; Camelidae
Source: Ensembl
AAUUUGCCAAGUCCAGUGACUCCAAGGCCCUGGCAGAUGGCAAAAAUGAAUGAAGUGGACCAGGUGGGCCUUUGAGGAAAAAGGCACAUGCCUCAUUUAAAAAGGACAGCCACUUGCAAUCAGAUAUUGUUUAACAGAUGGAGUGGUUUCUGUUGGACACUAAGUACUGCUACAAAC